GAUGAACGCUAGCGACAGGCUUAACACAUGCAAGUCGAGGGGCAGCACAGGUAGCAAUACCGGGUGGCGACCGGCGCACGGGUGAGUAACGCGUAUGCAACUUACCUAUCAGAGGGGGAUAACCCGGCGAAAGUCGGACUAAUACCGCAUGAAGCAGGGGUCCCGCAUGGGGAUAUUUGCUAAAGAUUCAUCGCUGAUAGAUAGGCAUGCGUUCCAUUAGGCAGUUGGCGGGGUAACGGCCCACCAAACCGACGAUGGAUAGGGGUUCUGAGAGGAAGGCCCCCCACAUUGGUACUGAGACACGGACCAAACUCCUACGGGAGGCAGCAGUGAGGAAUAUUGGUCAAUGGCCGAGAGGCUGAACCAGCCAAGUCGCGUGAGGGAUGAAGGUUCUAUGGAUCGUAAACCUCUUUUAUAAGGGAAUAAAGUGCGGGACGUGUCCCGUUUUGUAUGUACCUUAUGAAUAAGGAUCGGCUAACUCCGUG
Molecule: ribosomal RNA, 485 nt
Filed under: uncultured bacterium
Lineage: Bacteria
Description: partial 16S ribosomal RNA
Rfam family: Bacterial small subunit ribosomal RNA
Source: RNAcentral